UACGGAGGGUGCAAGCGUUGCUCGGGAUUAUUGGGCGUAAAGGGUAGGUAGGUGGUCUCAUUUGUCUGGGGUGAAAGCCUUGAGCUUAACUCAAGAAGUGCCUCAGAAACGGUGAGACUAGAGUCCUGGAGAGGGUCGUGGAAUUCCCGGUGUAGCGGUGAAAUGCGUAGAGAUCGGGAGGAACACCAGAGGCGAAGGCGGCGACCUGGACAGGUACUGACACUCAACUACGAAAGCGUGGGGAGCAAACAGG
Molecule: ribosomal RNA, 253 nt
Filed under: uncultured bacterium
Lineage: Bacteria
Description: partial 16S ribosomal RNA
Rfam family: Bacterial small subunit ribosomal RNA
Source: RNAcentral